AAGGGUAUAGCUCAGUGGUAGAGUAUGUGCAUAGUAUGCACGAGGACCUGAGUUCAAUCCCCAGUACCUCCA
RNAcentral lists this transfer RNA (72 nucleotides) under Camelus bactrianus (Bactrian camel). It matches the Rfam family "tRNA". From Rfam's summary of the family: Transfer RNA (tRNA) molecules are approximately 80 nucleotides in length. Their secondary structure includes four short double-helical elements and three loops (D, anti-codon, and T loops). The record is from Rfam by way of RNAcentral. Lineage: Eukaryota; Metazoa; Chordata; Mammalia; Artiodactyla; Camelidae. RNAcentral also lists the same sequence under 2 other names.